AUGGCCAAAGGAGAGCCUAAGAAGCUGAAAGGCAAAAUGUCAUCAUAUGCAUUCUUUGUGCAAACUUGCCGGGAGGAGCACAAAAAGUAGCACCCAGAAGAUUCAGUCAGUUUCUCAGAGUUUUCUAAGAAGUGCUCAGAGAGAUGGAAACCUGUCUGCAAAAGAGAAAAAUUUGAAGACGUGGCAAAGUUGGGGGAGGCCUGUCACAAAAGAGAAAUGAAACCUAAAUCCCUCCUGAAGGGGAAACAAAAAAGUUCAAGGAUCCCAACGCACUCAAGAGGCCUUCUGGAGCCUUUAUCUUGUUCGGUUCUGAGUACCGCCCAAAAAUCAAAAAUAACAUCCCAGCCUAUCCAUUAGUAACGUUGCAAAGAAACUGGGAGAGAUGUGGAAUAACACUGCUGCAGACAAUAAGCAGCCAUGUGAAAGGAAGGCUGCAAAGCUGAAGGAAAAAUAUGACAAGGAUAUCGUUGUACACGGAGCUAAAGGAAAGCCUGAUGCAGCAAAAAAGAAAGCCGUUGGGGCUGAGAAAAGCAAGAAAAAGAAUGAAGAGGAGAAAGAUGAAGAGGAUGAUGUUGAGGAGGAAGAUGAUCAUGAAUAA
This 598-nucleotide long non-coding RNA is filed under the name Homo sapiens (human). RNAcentral describes it as "non-protein coding lnc-SERTM2-3:1". The record is from RNAcentral. Lineage: Eukaryota; Metazoa; Chordata; Mammalia; Primates; Hominidae.